RNAcentral lists this unclassified non-coding RNA (213 nucleotides) under plant metagenome. Its description in RNAcentral is "partial contains small subunit ribosomal RNA, internal transcribed spacer 1, and 5.8S ribosomal RNA". The record is from RNAcentral.
UUUCCGUAGGUGGACCUGCGUAAGGAUCAUUCAUAAUAAGUGUUUUAUGGCACUUUUUUAAAUCCAUAUCCACCUUGUGUGCAAUGUCAGGGUUGAUUUUUCUCUCGAGAGGAUCAACCCCAAACAUCAACUAUAUCUCAACUCUUUGUCUGAAAAAUAUUAUGAAUAAAACAAUUCAAAAUACAACUUUCAACAACGGAUCUCUUGGCUCUC